CAGCAGCCGCGGGAAUACGUAGGGGGCGAGCGUUGUCCGAAGUUACUGGGCGUAAAGAGCGCGUAGGCGGGUUCUUAAGUGAGGGGUGAAAGGUUCAGGGCUCAACCCGGACACUGCCUUUCAUACUGGGAACCUUGAGUGUGGGAGAGGCGAGUGGAAUGGUCGGUGUAGCGGUGAAAUGCGUAGAUAUCGAUCGGAACACCCAUGGCGAAGGCAGCUCGCUGGCCUAUAACUGACGCUGGGGCGCGAAAGCGUGGGGAGCAAACAGGAUUAGAUACCCCCGUAGUCCCUGUCUCUUAUA
Molecule: ribosomal RNA, 301 nt
Filed under: uncultured bacterium
Lineage: Bacteria
Description: partial 16S ribosomal RNA
Rfam family: Bacterial small subunit ribosomal RNA
Source: RNAcentral